UGGGGUAUAGCUCAGCGGUGGAGCAUUUGCUUAGCAUGCAUGAAGCCCUUGGUUUGAUUCCUAGCACCACAA
RNAcentral lists this transfer RNA (72 nucleotides) under Marmota monax (woodchuck). It matches the Rfam family "tRNA". From Rfam's summary of the family: Transfer RNA (tRNA) molecules are approximately 80 nucleotides in length. Their secondary structure includes four short double-helical elements and three loops (D, anti-codon, and T loops). Further hydrogen bonds mediate the characteristic L-shaped molecular structure. tRNAs have two regions of fundamental functional importance: the anti-codon, which is responsible for specific mRNA codon recognition, and the 3' end, to which the tRNAs corresponding amino acid is attached (by aminoacyl-tRNA synthetases). tRNAs cope with the degeneracy of the genetic code in two manners: having more than one tRNA (with a specific anti-codon) for a particular amino acid; and 'wobble' base-pairing, i.e. permitting non-standard base-pairing at the 3rd anti-codon position. The record is from Rfam by way of RNAcentral. Lineage: Eukaryota; Metazoa; Chordata; Mammalia; Rodentia; Sciuridae.